CCCUUAGAUGUUCUGGGCCGCACGCGCGCUACAAUGGUCUUCGCAAACGGAUGCGUUCUCGAAGGAGAAUGCCAAUCUUGGAAUCUAUGCCUUGGUCGGGACAGUUGCUUGCAAUUUUUCGACUCGAACCAGGAAUUCCUUGUAAUCGUGAUUCAUCACAUCACGAUGAAUACGUCCCUGCCCUUUGUACACACCGCCCGUCGCUCCUACCGAUCGAAGAGUUAGGUGAAUUGUUUUGAUCGAUAAGAUUUGACUAUGGUCAACUCUCGUUGUGAAAUUCUGUGAAUCUGACUGUUUAGAGGAAGGAAAAGUCGUAACA
This 319-nucleotide ribosomal RNA is filed under the name uncultured eukaryote. Its description in RNAcentral is "partial 18S ribosomal RNA". It matches the Rfam family "Eukaryotic small subunit ribosomal RNA", at positions 1470 to 1796 of the family's 1831-position model. The record is from RNAcentral.